RNAcentral lists this ribosomal RNA (478 nucleotides) under uncultured bacterium. Its description in RNAcentral is "partial 16S ribosomal RNA". It matches the Rfam family "Bacterial small subunit ribosomal RNA", at positions 28 to 507 of the family's 1533-position model. The record is from RNAcentral.
GAUGAACGCUGGCGGCGUGCUUAACACAUGCAAGUCGAACGGGAAAUAUUUCAUUGAGACUUCGGUGGAUUUGAUUUAUUUCUAGUGGCGGACGGGUGAGUAACGCGUGGGUAACCUGCCUUAUACAGGGGGAUAACAGUCAGAAAUGGCUGCUAAUACCGCAUAAGCGCACAGAGCUGCUUGGCUCAGUGUGAAAAACUCCGGUGGUAUAAGAUGGACCCGCGUUGGAUUAGCUAGUUGGUGGGGUAACGGCCCACCAAGGCGACGAUCCAUAGCCGGCCUGAGAGGGUGAACGGCCACAUUGGGACUGAGACACGGCCCAGACUCCUACGGGAGGCAGCAGUGGGGAAUAUUGCACAAUGGGGGAAACCCUGAUGCAGCGACGCCGCGUGAAGGAAGAAGUAUCUCGGUAUGUAAACUUCUAUCAGCAGGGAAGAUAGUGACGGUACCUGACGAAGAAGCCCCGGCUAACUACGUG